UCGUUAACAUGGAUAAAAAGUAAUACGGGGGAAACCGAAUAUCCGUUACGUGUGUGCGAAAUGUAGUAAUGUAACCGUAGAGUCACUCAAACUUUCGAGACAAGAGAUAUGUGCGUCAUCAUCGAGGAACGAAUUUCAUCGAUGCUCAUUAAAAAACAACAUUUGAUCUGAACUGAAAGUAUAUUCGUAGCAAGCCAUAGAGGAGCAGAUGUUUUGUAGAAAAUAUUACGAACGAUUUUUAGUUAGAGAAAGUCGACUCUGCCUUGUGUGUCGGUGCAAAUAAAAUCGGACCCUAAAUAGCACGUCUGGCGAGGGGUUAAAACACCCGUUGGAAAUAAAAAAGGCACUGCGCGCACGGUCCUUCUGCAUAACGGCAUGUGUACCCCUUCUAUGUGUACAUGUGUAACUUUAUGACAGACAUGUGUAUACAAAUUUCAAAUGAUACGCUCGCCUCAAUUGAUCAUAGCCCGUCUGACCGUAAAAUUCGCAUAGCAGACGAAAAAUCGUAAAACGCACGAAAAAAAAA
Apis florea (little honeybee) is the source of this 526-nucleotide long non-coding RNA. The record is from RefSeq and is a predicted model, not a curated record. Lineage: Eukaryota; Metazoa; Arthropoda; Insecta; Hymenoptera; Apidae.